This 73-nucleotide transfer RNA is filed under the name Virgisporangium ochraceum. Its description in RNAcentral is "tRNA-Gln". It matches the Rfam family "tRNA". Rfam says of the family: Transfer RNA (tRNA) molecules are approximately 80 nucleotides in length. Their secondary structure includes four short double-helical elements and three loops (D, anti-codon, and T loops). Further hydrogen bonds mediate the characteristic L-shaped molecular structure. tRNAs have two regions of fundamental functional importance: the anti-codon, which is responsible for specific mRNA codon recognition, and the 3' end, to which the tRNAs corresponding amino acid is attached (by aminoacyl-tRNA synthetases). tRNAs cope with the degeneracy of the genetic code in two manners: having more than one tRNA (with a specific anti-codon) for a particular amino acid; and 'wobble' base-pairing, i.e. permitting non-standard base-pairing at the 3rd anti-codon position. Lineage: Bacteria; Bacillati; Actinomycetota; Actinomycetes; Micromonosporales; Micromonosporaceae. The record is from RNAcentral.
UCGGCGGUGGUGUAAUCGGCAACACCUUUGGUUUUGGUCCAAAUGUUCCGGGUUCGAGUCCUGGCCGCCGAGC